RNAcentral lists this ribosomal RNA (118 nucleotides) under Pteropus alecto (black flying fox). Lineage: Eukaryota; Metazoa; Chordata; Mammalia; Chiroptera; Pteropodidae. The record is from RNAcentral. RNAcentral also lists the same sequence under 1 other name.
GUCUACGGCGAUGCCACCCUAAACAACCCAAUCCUGUCUGAUCUCGGAAGCUAAGCAGGGUCGGGCCUGGUUAGUACUUGGAUGGGAGACCACCUAGGAAGACCAGGUGCUGCCAGUG